CCUACGGGCGGCAGCAGUCGAGAAUCAUUCACCAUGGGGGAAACCCUGAUGGUGCGACGCCGCGUGGGGGAAUGAAGGUCUUCGGAUUGUAAACCCCUGUCAUGUGGGAGCAAAUUAAAAAGAUAGUACCACAAGCGGAAGAGACGGCUAACUGGGUGCCAGCAGCCGCGGUAAUACAGAGGACCCAAGCGGUUACCGGAAUCACCGGGCGUAAAGGGUACGUAGGCGGUUUCGUAAGUCGUGUGUGAAAGAGGCGGGAGAAACCCGGGAACGGCACAUGAUACUGCGAGACUAGUGUAAUGGAGGGGGGACCAGAAUUCUAGGUGUAGCAGUGAAAUGCGUAGAGAUCGGGAGGAACACUCGUGGCGAAGGCGGGUUCCUGGACAUUAACUGACGCUGAGGCACGAAGGCCAGGGGAGCGAAAGGGAUUAGAUACCCCAGUAGUC
This 446-nucleotide ribosomal RNA is filed under the name uncultured bacterium. RNAcentral's name for it is "partial 16S ribosomal RNA". It matches the Rfam family "Bacterial small subunit ribosomal RNA", at positions 338 to 795 of the family's 1533-position model. The record is from RNAcentral.